RNAcentral lists this long non-coding RNA (463 nucleotides) under Jatropha curcas. Its description in RNAcentral is "long non-coding RNA (JCUR_LNC001329)". The record is from RNAcentral. Lineage: Eukaryota; Viridiplantae; Streptophyta; Magnoliopsida; Malpighiales; Euphorbiaceae.
AGACUGCAGAUUAGGUUUUCCAUAUAAACAAACAUGUUUCUAACUUUUUUAACGAAACGAAAGAACCUGAUGGUAAGCUUAUAGCAAAAGUAAAAGACGUGAUUGCAAUUUAUUUUUUAAAAAUAGCAAGAUGAAAGUGUUAAUUAAAAAAAAAUUACGCAUGAUAAAUUUUCAGAGUAAUAUUUUAACUUACGGAGCUAGAGCUGGAGGAGCCAGAACGGUGAAGCUGACCAGACUCUCCGUAGUGUUCUUGGCGGUGUCCCAUGCCAAGGCCAGUAGUACCAGUCUCUGGUGCGCCACCGUAUGCAGUGGUAGUACCAGUUUGAGGGAUUGGAUUACCAUACUCGUCUGUUUGGCGUAUUGCGCGACCGUAUUCGUCUACUGGAUUGCCGUAUUCGUCCGUAUAGUUAACUGCGCCAUAUUGGUUUUGAAAGUGAGCCAUUUUGUGAACGCAAACACAAAC